GUCCUUCCCGCGGCGAACAAAACUCUCGCUCCAACAGGUACCGACACCGUAUAUUGAGGAUGCUCCGCGAGCCUUCCUCGCAUCCCCGUUUUCCUCUGUUUUCCCGUACUCUUCCACUAUCUCAGUCUCAGAUCUCUCUUUCUCUCCCUCUCAAAGGGAAGUGUUACGGGCCAAAUAAUAUCCUCCAAUGGUGUCUUGACACGUAGGCCACCCAUGAGACUUUGCCAAAUUGGAAAGGAAACGCGACACACGCGAAAGGUAAUCCCUACCCAUCAGUCCUCUCCUGCUACCAGAUGAGUGAAGGGAAAAACAGCAGAUGAAAUUCGUAGGCUUUAACACUUUGAUUUCUCCGUAACAAUCCCCUGUAACUGAUCUCAUUUCUUUAACGUGUAAUGCGCUAACGUGACGUGUUUGGAUUGGUGGGUGUUAAACGGACUACAAUACCCAGUCUGUUCCAAAGAGGAACUGUUCUUCAAAUAGCCGAGAAGCGAGAAGGUUACAAAACGCUGAUAAACUCAUAGCAUAUUCAAAAUAAAUUAGACGUUGGUGUUCAUGGGAAUCGUUGGCGAGGCUGCAAACAAGGAGGCUAACAGAAGCGUAUCUGAGAAGAAGCCUACAGUUGUUUUUGUUCUAGGUGGCCCAGGUAGUGGAAAAGGUACCCAAUGUGCGAAUAUUGUUCAACACUUCGGUUAUACCCAUCUCAGUGCUGGUGAUCUUCUCCGAGCAGAAAUCAGCUCUGGUUCUGAAAAUGGCACUAUGAUUCAGAACAUGAUGAAAGAAGGAAAGAUCGUUCCCUCCGAGGUUACUAUUAAGCUUCUCCAGCGCGCAAUGACAGAAAGUGGUAAUGACAGAUUUCUUAUUGAUGGUUUUCCUCGUAACGAGGAAAAUCGAGCAGCAUUUGAGGAUAUUACAAAAAUUGAGCCAGCUUUUGUCCUAUUUUUCGAUUGUUCUGAGGAAGAGAUGGAGAGGCGUGUUUUGAAUAGAAACCAGGGAAGGGAAGAUGAUAACAUUGAAACAAUAAGGAAGCGCUUUAAGGUUUUCUCGGAGUCUAGUCUCCCUGUGAUUGAGCAUUACAAGUCAAGGAGAAAAGUUCGACAGAUUGAUGCUGGAAGGCCAGUUGAAGAGGUUUUUGAGUCUGUGAAAGCUGUAUUUACCUCAAAAAAUGAGAAGCUGUUCGAUUGGGUUGGAGGUUGGAACACCAAUGCAUUAUAAGAAUUUGGGGUUAUCACCAGUCUUGCAAUAAAGUUGCAAUUUUCAAUCAUUUGUCACUCAUGAAGUUGUGAACUAUGCAACUGGAUAGUGUAAUGCUCAACAAGCUGACUGAGCACUACAUAUCCACCUGAUAUUCAAGUAUCGUAUCUAUUGAGGUUCUGUAUUUUGACUGCGUAUCCUUGUACUCUGCGAAGGAUGAUAUAUCUCUCCCAUUUUUUUUUUCUAAAUAUAGAAGGUUGUAUUUUAUGCUAUUGAGUGUAUACCUCCAUUUUUCUUCUCUUUUGAUUAUAUUUCUCUGUAAUGCCAUCAAAUAAUAAUUGUAAUAGCAAUAAGGAUCCUUUUUUGAGUC
RNA transcript from Juglans regia (Persian walnut), 1561 nucleotides. It is a transcript of the gene named UMP-CMP kinase 3-like, with no coding region annotated. The transcript is spliced from 12 exons. The record is from RefSeq and is a predicted model, not a curated record. Lineage: Eukaryota; Viridiplantae; Streptophyta; Magnoliopsida; Fagales; Juglandaceae.